This 556-nucleotide long non-coding RNA is filed under the name Rattus norvegicus (Norway rat). Its description in RNAcentral is "long non-coding RNA NONRATT003011". The record is from RNAcentral. Lineage: Eukaryota; Metazoa; Chordata; Mammalia; Rodentia; Muridae.
CAAUUUACUAGAACUCAAAACAGGAUGACCUAAGUGAUAUUAAGGAACCAUGAGCAAUGUGCUAUAUGCAUAAACCUCAAUUACUUAAUUAUUAUUCUCAGGAGUGCAUUGCAGAAGGUCAGAGCUGAAGGGGCUCUCAUCUGCCCCAACACCUUGUUUACCAGUCGGGGGAAGUUGAGACUCAGAAAUGGGUAAGGGCAUGGCCUAAAACCUUUCCAGUCUUAGUCCUGGGAUUUCAGCUCCUCCUCUGGAAGCUUCGGGUGCAAUAGUUCUAUAUUCCAUCAAACAGAUGUCUAAGAAAGUUCUCCCUCCUGGACGAAGGGAGGAAUUUGCCUGUGGACUGAAGAAGAAGAAAAGGGCCCACAAACUGCCUGAGCGAUGAGAACUGGCUUCUGGAGGAUCUGAGAACUCGCAUUCAGUCACUCACUGACCAGCCUGAGUUCGAUUGUCUGAAUUUGACUUUCUAUACAGUAACACAGCAUAGACACCUAUUCUGUUAUCUCCACAUCCUCUGGAUGGAGAAUUUUUUGUUGAUUUUACAAAAAAAAAAAAAAAA